UACAGAGGUCUCAAGCGUUGUUCGGAUUCAUUGGGCGUAAAGGGUGCGUAGGUGGUGCUGUAAGUCAGGUGUGAAAUCUCGGGGCUCAACCCCGAAACUGCACUUGAUACUGCGGUGCUCGAGGACUGGAGAGGAGAUCGGAAUUCAUGGUGUAGCAGUGAAAUGCGUAGAUAUCAUGAGGAAGACCAGUGGCGAAGGCGGAUCUCUGGACAGUUCCUGACGCUGAGGCACGAAGGCCAGGGGAGCAAACGGG
This 253-nucleotide ribosomal RNA is filed under the name uncultured bacterium. RNAcentral describes it as "partial 16S ribosomal RNA". It matches the Rfam family "Bacterial small subunit ribosomal RNA", at positions 524 to 776 of the family's 1533-position model. The record is from RNAcentral.